CCUUCAUUCAAAGCCAGAGAUCUCUCCCCAGUUACUUGGACAUCCCUUAGUUCUUUCCAUGUGUGGAACUGAAUGUUUAUCUCCUACAGUAAUUCUAUGUACACAAGGAUAUCUGAUAUUCAACCUCCAAUCGGGUGGUGAACCACAGGUUGAGGACCACAGCUCUGAAUGCAAGCAGAAAUCUCUUCAAAUCCUGGCAGUGGUUCUGGAGCAGUGACAUUCUUACUUUUUAUUAUCAGACUGAAUCAAACUAGUCAUCUGGGAAGAGGGACCCUCAAUGAGGAAUUAUAUAGAUCAGAUUUACUUUG
This is a long non-coding RNA of Peromyscus eremicus (cactus mouse), 308 nucleotides long. RefSeq lists it as uncharacterized. NCBI's taxonomy places the organism in Eukaryota, Metazoa, Chordata, Mammalia, Rodentia, Cricetidae. The record is from RefSeq and is a predicted model, not a curated record. The transcript is spliced from 2 exons.